RNAcentral lists this long non-coding RNA (282 nucleotides) under Hordeum vulgare. Its description in RNAcentral is "long non-coding RNA (HVUL_LNC000600)". Lineage: Eukaryota; Viridiplantae; Streptophyta; Magnoliopsida; Poales; Poaceae. The record is from RNAcentral.
GCACAACAACAAUUCACACCAAAAUUAACUUCACCACAAAUCCAACCAGAAUAACUGGGGAAUAUUCAACAUUUUUGUUGGAUUUUUAAAACAAAUUGAAAACACGUGUAACCAAAAUAUUUGAAUAGGAAGGGUUUUGAAUCAUGGUGCAACAAGGGUUUUGAAGGGGCUUUGUUGCACCAACACUCAUGCACAAGAGCACAAACAAACAUCACUCCCUGACCAUCAAGGUAGCAACCAACACAAGAUCAAACAAUCGAGACAAAAGGAAAAAUAAAUAAG